Long non-coding RNA from Daphnia pulex (common water flea), 1278 nucleotides. RefSeq lists it as uncharacterized. NCBI's taxonomy places the organism in Eukaryota, Metazoa, Arthropoda, Branchiopoda, Diplostraca, Daphniidae. The record is from RefSeq and is a predicted model, not a curated record. The transcript has 3 exons.
GCUGGACCAUUCACAUGACAGUCACAUGAUUUGACUGAUGACCUCCUGCCAUUAGCAACAAUCACAACAUCAUCGCUCAGAUAAACAGCAUCCCGUUUCAUUGGAGAAACUUCCAGUGUCGACCGAGUUGAUGAUCUCUUCAAUUCCCCCUUCUUUAAAUGUCCUCGUGUACGCUCACGUGAAUGUGGGUGUAUUCACGAGGACACCCUUUGUCUUAUUCCGUCUGGUGGAUUCAACAUUUCAACGGAUGGAUGGAACACUUGCAGAUGGAUGCCUGGCUGUGGAUUUCCCAGGCUUAAAGUUUUACGAUUUACCAUAUCCCGGCCGAUUGAUUCUUAUUCGCCACGCCAACUUUUAUGUAUAACAUCGAGAGAGAAAAUUUCAAAAUGGAAAAGCCGGCCGCCAUCGAUUCGAGCACGUAUAAAAUACCUUAUUUCUUUUCUUUUCUUCUUUUUCAGCUAUAUAGCUUCGCCGAGUAAUAAAAUUUGGAGGAACUUUAAGGACGGAGAAUAGGACGCGAAAUCGAGAUCAAUGUCCGAAUGGGGAAAUUCAAUUUGAUCGCAAAAUAUUUCUAUUCUUCAAAAAAAAAGAAGAUUUAGUAUAUAUAAAUUUCUGAGACGGGCCUUUAUAUUUAGCCGACGUCAUUUUCUUUUUCUUUCUUUUUUUUUUGGUCGGCCCAUGUAGUCCGUUUUCUAACGUAAUGCAUUUUGCAGUCCAUCAAUUUUGGAAUAAGGUGUACAACGUCGCACUCCAUCGAUUGAUCAAAAACGUCGAUAGCCAAAAUAGAAAAAAGAAUUGGCAUGGAACGAAAUUUUCUCUCCUUUUUUUUUUAAAUUUCCCGCCAGAUCAAUACGUUUCUUUAAAACAAAAAAAUUUAAAAUUUUGUUUUCAUUUUCCACCGAUUAUUAUGCACAAAGUUGACCUCGUCUUGACGCCAACUCUCUUCCGUACAGAUGGCGGAAUUUGUUUCUCCAAAAAAUAUAAGAACAAUAAAAAAAGAGCUGCCGUCUGGCUUGUCUUCUCUACCGACUUGUAUUCUCGCACGAUCUCUGCCGUUGCGCAUAAAAAUGUCCUGAUUACAGCACGUUAGCUCUCGGGGAUCGAUCGAAAGACCCCCGACGAGAGAAGCGAUUAGCAUCACAGAAGCUUUUAGAAUAAGAGGAAGGUUCGGACAUUCAUAUUCAUAUGUAUCGACAGCUGGAUAGGAAAAAAGAGAUUCUUUCGAGUCUUUUUUAGUGUUUUUCCUUUUUAUUUUAUUUAUUUUUUUUUUCAUUUAUU